This 253-nucleotide ribosomal RNA is filed under the name uncultured bacterium. Its description in RNAcentral is "partial 16S ribosomal RNA". It matches the Rfam family "Bacterial small subunit ribosomal RNA", at positions 524 to 776 of the family's 1533-position model. The record is from RNAcentral.
GCCGGAGGAUGCAAGCGUUAUCCGGAAUGAUUGGGCGUAAAGCGUCCGCAGGUGGCAGUUCAAGUCUGCUGUCAAAGACCGGGGCUUAACUUCGGAAAGGCAGUGGAAACUGAACAGCUAGAGUAUGGUAGGGGCAGAGGGAAUUCCUGGUGUAGCGGUGAAAUGCGUAGAGAUCAGGAAGAACAUCGGUGGCGAAGGCGCUCUGCUGGACCCUAACUGACACUCAGGGACGAAAGCUAGGGGAGCGAAUGGG